AUAGUACAAGAAGGCACACUGAGUGCGGGUUAAGUCUGCAGGAGAUCAGAUCAGCUUUGUUUCACAUGGCACCCUCCAUCAUUUCAUCCCACUACUGCAUCCUAGAAUCUUCACCAGCGGCCAGAGCUGACGCUGGGUGCCAGUUCUCUGACUGCUGUUCGUGCAGCCUGCUCUGGGAUCUGCCUGGACCACCCUGCUGCUGAAGCUUCCUCCUGGGAGAUGGGGACACAGACAGACCCUGGAGGCUGCUACAGCUGUGGGAACUUGGGCAGUUCAUGGGAGCAAAGGAGGUGCCUGGUCCAAACCACAGCUGGAAGCUGUGCCAUUUCUCUUGACAUCUGGGCAGAACGUAAGCCUUGGAGGGACCGGUUGGCAGGAAUUCUUGUUGAUUGGAGGCAGGGAAGGAGAAAGCAGAGGUGGCCGCUGUCAUGUGACAUUAGCAUCACGUUAGCGAUGGCUUCAGCACCUCUUGGGUGGCGUGUGUUAUCGUGAGUUCUCAUGAACUCACAGACUUGAAACGGGUGACAGGGUGGUGGAUGCCCCUCCCGAAAGGUGUAUGACAGAUCCGGAAAGGGAGGGGCUGGUCUGAGGGGAAGUUUCCUCCUUGGGGCCCUCAGACCAUUCAGAGAGGGGGCCAUGGCCUGGACAAAGCACAGGGCUUCAGCCAGCAGAGUGACUCACCUGGGGACAGGAAACAUCCGGAUGACCUCCCUUCCACCUUGUGAACCCUCGUUAACGGGGGCAGGGGGGGCAAAUCACCUCUGAACCCACGAAAACGACGUUGUCUUUCUAAAAGCUCUUCUGUCGAAAAUGCAGAAAUUUUAAAACAAGGUUGAUGUCUCUGUUUUUUUGGUCCCAGCAUGGCAUAUGGAAUCACAUGUGAGCUGCUGCUGCAACCUACAGCACAGCUGCAGCAAUGCCAGAUCCUUAACCCACCAUGCCGCAGGGGGAACUCCCGCUAUCUCCAUUUUAAGUUUAAAAGCUCUCACAAUUAUGUGGCUUUGAGAGUUCACUGUAAAGUCAUUUAAGUGGCCCAAUGGACAUAACUGGACUUUUAAUUCACAGGCUUUGAAACAUCUUUAAAUGACUUGGAUUGAGCACUUCUCUGCUGUUGGUAGGUUUUAUGAUGGUUCCUAGUAAGAGGGAUGGAUGUAUAGACACACAUGCCUGUCACUGGCGAGGAGGACAGCGCCUGUCUGUGUAUCUAGGAAAUUCAAAGGUCAUUUUGAACUCGAAGGUUAAGAAAUGAUGUUCCUGCUACACCUUUUCCAGACUCCCUCUCAGCGCUGUUUGGCAGUGACAGUAACGGCAUGGUCCUGGGGACCACGGCCCGUUCUCCAAACCAUCUGCACCUGAUCUCGGCCCCGGGCAGUGGUGCAUGGUGGGGUUAACAAGGCUUUCCCUCAUCUGACACCUCCUUCCUCCCUGGGGAAGAGGCAUGAAUGCUGCCAAUAAGUAGACUCAAAGUAUGUUUGUCAUUAAGCUUUUCCUGUAGGCUGGCUCGUUCAAUUGAUGGAGUUGCUCUGGUGAGUUACUUUAAGCUUCCAACUUAUAAAUCAAGAUGUAGUCAUAUCAAUUCAAUGUUGGUUUGUUCACCUCGUUGAUUUUGAAAUAAAAAUGAAUGUGAUUUUAGAGAUGCCCCAAGUGAAAAAUCCCCAAUACUGACGCCACUAGCAAUGAGCAGCACUGCCUGCUGGAACCAGGGUUCCUUACAGGGCACUGACCCCAGGUCUGGGGCAGGAGAUGGUAAGUGAGCCUAGCAUAUCCUGCUCUGCCAAGAACUUUUCGGAAACUAAGGUGUCAAGGUCAAAAGGACAAAGAGGCCAACCUGAAGGGUAUCCCGUUGCUCUAAAAUACGACAAUGAAGCAUCCAAAAGAUGAGUGAGAUGGAUUGAAGUACAUGGCAUACAUAAAAUUUCAUGAAUUCGUGAAUAUCCUAAAACAAACAGCUAACCAGCUCUUUAGUUUAAAAUUUGAUGCACGGAAAGACAGAUUUAUCUUGCUUUUUUUUUUCCCUGUACAAACCUUAUUUAAGAGUUCACAAAGAGGUGACAGGAGAAAUUUCUUUACAGAUGCAUACAAGCUAAUAAAAGUAGAAGGAAUGAUAGUUAAGAAAUCAUUAAAAACAAACACCUAUUGGAGUAAUGAAUUUAGGCAACAGUCAUCAAAGACAUUAAAGCAGUAGGUGACAGGUGAAUGGGGACCAGCCAGUGGAUGGAUCAGGCUGGGGAUCCAGGAACUGACUGUCAAUCUCUUAUCACUAAGAGCGGAUGAUGAGACGUUACAAUGUGAUGCAAAGCAGAUAUGCAGCACCAUCUCUGAAGCUGAAAAAAAUUCCUCUGAAUCUAAGCAAGCCUCUGUGUCUAACCUUUCACUUAACAGAAAAUACAGCAGGUAGAGAAACCAGUUAGAAAAUGUCAAAUCAAUACCGUGGGACAUUUUACAGGGCGGCCAAUCUAAUUUCUCCAAAGAAUUAAUGACACGGAAACAAAGCAGGGGAGGGGACAGCUACAGACAUGAGACUUAAGACUUACUCGUGGGCUUUGUUCAGAUCCUGAUUCAGGGGAGUUCCCAUCGUGGCGCAGUGGUUAACAAAUCUGACUAGGAACCAUGAGGUUUCGGGUUCGAUCCCUGGCCUUGCUCAGUGGGUUAAGGAUCCAGUGUUGCCAUGAGUUGUGGUGUAGGUCACAGAUGCAGCUCGGAUCCCGUGUUGCUGUGGCUCUUACGUAGGCCGGCGGCUACAGCUCUGAUUAGACCCCUAGCCUGGGAACCUCCAUAUGCAGCCCUAGAAAAAACCAAAAACAAAAAGACAGAUCCUGAUUCAAACAAAUCAACUGUUACGAAAUAUAUUUCAGACAGCAUAGGAAACUUAGAAUAGAGACCAGGUACUAAACGAGCACAGGCAACAGUGGUUAGUUUUAUUAGUUACAGUAAUGGCAGUAUCGCUAAACAAGUUCAUUGGUUAUGGAUGCAUACUGGAGUAUUAGGAUAAAAGCCUGUGGUAGCUUGGAUUUCUCUAGAAACACUCCAAUAAAGAAAGGAGGAGAGUGCUUUGGGUUAAGGAGCCAGUGUUGUCCCUUGCAUCGUUGUUAGGUUCCAUCCCUGGCUCGGGAACUUCCACAUACAAGUGUGGC
RNAcentral lists this long non-coding RNA (3134 nucleotides) under Sus scrofa (pig). RNAcentral describes it as "lncRNA (ENSSSCG00000062392.1)". The record is from RNAcentral. Lineage: Eukaryota; Metazoa; Chordata; Mammalia; Artiodactyla; Suidae.